ACUCUCUUAGUUUAAAUAAAACCUUAAAUUGCAAAUUUAACUUAAAAAUCAUUAGAUGGUA
Molecule: transfer RNA, 61 nt
Filed under: Epeus alboguttatus
Lineage: Eukaryota; Metazoa; Arthropoda; Arachnida; Araneae; Salticidae
Description: tRNA-Cys
Source: RNAcentral